UGUUCGGAGAUGACAAUUAAAAGGGAAUUAGGUGAAAGUCCUAAACAGUCCCGCUGCUGUAAGUUUCAUGAUAUGUUGCAGGCAAAACAACCAAUAGCCACUGGAAGCAUCUUCCGGGAAGGCGCCUGUCAACAGAAACAAGUCAGAAGACCUGCCAUGCACUGU
RNAcentral lists this non-coding RNA (165 nucleotides) under uncultured Bacteroides sp. Lineage: Bacteria; Pseudomonadati; Bacteroidota; Bacteroidia; Bacteroidales; Bacteroidaceae. The record is from RNAcentral.